Molecule: transfer RNA, 88 nt
Filed under: Bacillota bacterium
Lineage: Bacteria; Bacillati; Bacillota
Description: tRNA-Ser
Rfam family: tRNA
About the family: Transfer RNA (tRNA) molecules are approximately 80 nucleotides in length. Their secondary structure includes four short double-helical elements and three loops (D, anti-codon, and T loops). Further hydrogen bonds mediate the characteristic L-shaped molecular structure. tRNAs have two regions of fundamental functional importance: the anti-codon, which is responsible for specific mRNA codon recognition, and the 3' end, to which the tRNAs corresponding amino acid is attached (by aminoacyl-tRNA synthetases). tRNAs cope with the degeneracy of the genetic code in two manners: having more than one tRNA (with a specific anti-codon) for a particular amino acid; and 'wobble' base-pairing, i.e. permitting non-standard base-pairing at the 3rd anti-codon position.
Source: RNAcentral
GGAGGAGUGUCCGAGUGGUUUAAGGAGGCGGUCUUGAAAACCGUUAGACCGAAAGGUCUCGUGGGUUCGAAUCCUACCUCCUCCGCCA